Molecule: non-coding RNA, 260 nt
Organism: Podarcis lilfordi (Lilford's wall lizard)
Lineage: Eukaryota; Metazoa; Chordata; Lepidosauria; Squamata; Lacertidae
Source: the annotation of a GenBank genome assembly
UGGAUCCAAACUACAAGAAAGAAGAUUCCACCUAAACAUUAGGAAGAACUUCCUGACAGUAAGAGCUGUUCGACAGUGGAAUUUGCUGUCAAGGAGUGUGGUGGAGUUUCCUUCUUUGGAGGUCUUUAAGCAGAGGCUUGACAACCAUAUGUCAGGAGUGCUCUGAUGGUGUUUCCUGCUUGGCAGGGGGUUGGACUCGAUGACCCUUGUGGUCUCUUCCAACUCUAUGAUUCUAUGAUUCUAUGAUUCUAUGAACCAGC